Molecule: long non-coding RNA, 346 nt
Organism: Meriones unguiculatus (Mongolian gerbil)
Lineage: Eukaryota; Metazoa; Chordata; Mammalia; Rodentia; Muridae
Exons: 3
Source: RefSeq, a predicted model, not a curated record
GUGAAAAGGAAACUCCUGCACUGGCUUCUGGUCUUUAGGAGUUCUGGUGAUAGCCUUGGCUUUUGGUAGGAUGGACUUGCCAAAGACUCUGGUGAGCUGAUUUCCAGCUAACAAAAGGUGUACAAGUUCUGUGAAGAAAGUUUGGUGUGAUAAACAAAAGAAGGCUCAAUAUACCUGGCAAUUGGAGUAUGGUUUCAAGUCUGGGAGAUCUGUGAAGACCAAUGGCUAUCACAGUCUUUAGAGGGAUAAUCAUAGACAGUUUACUACAUCAGGCAUGUGCUUCAUGGCUGUCCUUGUGUGUGAGAAGUUGAGCUGCAUGAAAUGGACACAGUGACGCUUAUUUAAG